UUGGGGAUAUGAUGCCAUCACAAUCUAAUUAUCUAAGGCAGCAGCACUGCUGAGUACAUGUUUUUGCACGUCAGUCUGAUCCCAAC
Molecule: small nucleolar RNA, 86 nt
Organism: Syzygium oleosum
Lineage: Eukaryota; Viridiplantae; Streptophyta; Magnoliopsida; Myrtales; Myrtaceae
Product: small nucleolar RNA Z122
Exons: 1
Source: RefSeq, a predicted model, not a curated record